Molecule: ribosomal RNA, 1443 nt
Filed under: metagenome
Description: bacterial SSU rRNA
Rfam family: Bacterial small subunit ribosomal RNA
Source: RNAcentral
AGAGUUUGAACCUGGCUCAGGAUGAACGCUGGCGGCGUGCUUAACACAUGCAAGUCGAACGAUCCUUCGGGAUAGUGGCGGAUGGGUGAGUAACGCGUGGGAAUCUGCCCUCAGGAGGGGGAUAACGGUUGGAAACGGCCGCUAAUACCCCAUAUGCCGAGAGGUGAAAUGAAUUUCGCCUGAGGAUGAGCCCGCGUCUGAUUAGCUAGUUGGUGGGGUAAAGGCCUACCAAGGCGACGAUCAGUAGCUGGUCUGAGAGGAUGAUCAGCCACACUGGGACUGAGACACGGCCCAGACUCCUACGGGAGGCAGCAGUGGGGAAUUUUCCGCAAUGGGCGAAAGCCUGACGGAGCAACGCCGCGUGAGGGAUGAAGGCCUCUGGGCUGUAAACCUCUUUUCUCAAGGAAGAAGAACUGACGGUACUUGAGGAAUAAGCCACGGCUAAUUCCGUGCCAGCAGCCGCGGUAAUACGGGAGUGGCAAGCGUUAUCCGGAAUUAUUGGGCGUAAAGCGUCCGCAGGCGGCCUUGUAAGUCUGUUGUUAAAGCGUGGAGCUCAACUCCAUUUAAGCAAUGGAAACUACAAGGCUGGAGUGUGGUAGGGGCAGAGGGAAUUCCCGGUGUAGCGGUGAAAUGCGUAGAUAUCGGGAAGAACACCAGUGGCGAAGGCGCUCUGCUGGGCCAUAACUGACGCUCAUGGACGAAAGCCAGGGGAGCGAAAGGGAUUAGAUACCCCUGUAGUCCUGGCCGUAAACGAUGAACACUAGGUGUCGGGGGAAUCGACCCCCUCGGUGUCGUAGCCAACGCGUUAAGUGUUCCGCCUGGGGAGUACGCACGCAAGUGUGAAACUCAAAGGAAUUGACGGGGGCCCGCACAAGCGGUGGAGUAUGUGGUUUAAUUCGAUGCAACGCGAAGAACCUUACCAGGGUUUGACAUCCUGCGAAUCCCUUGGAAACGAGGGAGUGCCUUCGGGAGCGCAGUGACAGGUGGUGCAUGGCUGUCGUCAGCUCGUGUCGUGAGAUGUUGGGUUAAGUCCCGCAACGAGCGCAACCCACGUCUUUAGUUGCCAGCAUUCAGUUGGGCACUCUAGAGAGACCGCCGGUGAUAAACCGGAGGAAGGUGUGGAUGACGUCAAGUCAUCAUGCCCCUUACAUCCUGGGCUACACACGUACUACAAUGCUACGGACAAAGGGCAGCAAGCUCGCGAGAGUUAGCAAAUCCCAUAAACCGUGGCUCAGUUCAGAUCGUAGGCUGCAACUCGCCUACGUGAAGGAGGAAUCGCUAGUAAUCGCAGGUCAGCAUACUGCGGUGAAUACGUUCCCGGGCCUUGUACACACCGCCCGUCACACCAUGGAAGUUGGCCAUGCCCGAAGUCGUUACUCCAACCCUUGUGGAGGAGGACGCCGAAGGUGGGGCUGAUGACUGGGGUGAAGUCGUAACAAGGUA